GACGGGGCAGGCAGGGCGGGGCAUGUCCAGCCCCAGCUGAGAUUGUAUCUGGGGCCACUGCUCCCCCUCCGGCCCAGCAGAGCUAACUGGGGAGUAGGAGCUGCCCCUGUUUGCUGCCAUCACCCUGCCCAGGGGUCCUGGGGAUGGAGGAACAUGUUGGCUGCAGCACAGGCAUGCAGUCGCCAGCCUUGGAGACCUGCCUGCCCCGAAGGCCACAACCGAUACACAGACCGCCAGGAUGUGCCUCUCACUGCUCUUCAUAGAGAAUUUGACAAUGCACCCCCCACCCCAAGUCUCCCAGGAGAGGGAAUCCUGCCUCCCUCCCACUCCGCCCCCCAGCACUCACCAAUCCCGCACUUGAGUCUGGAGCGGACUGCACCUGCCAUGGGCCCCUGGCGCCCACAGAGGCCCCGCCCCCUCAAGCUGGAGUCAAGGGGGAGGCGGGGGCAUGGAAGGAAACAAGGUGGCUGCAUAAUGGCAUCUUCCCCCCUUCUGAAGCUUUCCCUGGCUGCAUUUCCCAUGUGCACCUGCCACCUUCUAAUUCUCAAGCUCCUUGUCCAAUUCAGAGCGACUCCUGGGGAGCUUCCGCAGCCCCCGCAGCAGGCAUGGGACUGCUCUACUUCUGCGUGCCUGGCUGCCCCACUGUGGGGCACCGGAUGCUGCCUGCAGUGCCACUACCUGUCGGCUGGGCCUGGCCACCGGUGCCCUGGCCUGCCUGGCCUGCAGGUCUUGGGGAGGGCAGCUGCCAGCUCCCUACAGGGCAUCGUGGGAGACCUUCUGACAUCAGGGACCCCCACUCUGAGUGUGGCAUCCUCCCGUCCUCGCUCCAGUCAAGUGCAGUAGGUUGGUCAGUCCCCACCGGUGAAUUCUGCUCCUUUCUUUGUAAAGAGAAGGGCGCGGGGCCACCCUGCUCCUGCUGAAAUGCCCCUGUCUCAGCAAACCCUGCAGUGGGCGCUGCACACACCACUCCCCCUCUGCCAAAAUUCAAUCUCCCCCAGCACCUGUGUCCAGAUUCAAGGUCAUCCUCUAGCCCAGAAGCCAAGAGCCUGCAACCUGACUCCUCAUCAGAUCCAUACCGCUGCCUGUUUGCGACUGGCCCAGGAUCUAAGACUGACUUCUCCAUUUCUGAUGGUUAAAAAAAUAAAAAGAACAUCGUUGAUGCA
Molecule: long non-coding RNA, 1163 nt
Filed under: Oryctolagus cuniculus (rabbit)
Lineage: Eukaryota; Metazoa; Chordata; Mammalia; Lagomorpha; Leporidae
Description: lncRNA (ENSOCUG00000030209.1)
Source: RNAcentral